ACGCUCGACACCUACGGGAGCAGCAGUGGGGAAUAUUGGGCAAUGGGCGCAAGCCUGACCCAGCAACGCCGCGUGAAGGAAGAAGGCUUUCGGGUUGUAAACUUCUUUUGUCAGGGAACAGUAGAAGAGGGUACCUGACGAAUAAGCCACGGCUAACUACGUACCAGCAGCCGCGGUAAUCUGAGCGGGCGUGGCAAGGC
This 200-nucleotide ribosomal RNA is filed under the name uncultured bacterium. RNAcentral describes it as "partial 16S ribosomal RNA". It matches the Rfam family "Bacterial small subunit ribosomal RNA", at positions 328 to 538 of the family's 1533-position model. The record is from RNAcentral.